AAAUUCUGUAAUAUGUAAUUAAAUUAUACAUAUAUUUCACAUACUGGACUAACCAAAAACAUUUAUGUAUUAUUUUGUACACUACUUCUCCCCAGUUGCAAGAGUAUAGCACAGAGCUUGAUGUUGGUUUGCCAGCCCCUCUGAACACACUGGGCCGGUGGCUACAGCAAAUGGAGGAUGUGCUAUCUGAAGACAGCGGGAACGCUGAAGAUCACGCACUUGCUUCCAGAGACGCCAGACACAAGCAUGACCAACUGAAGGUCUUGCUUGAGGACUUAAGCCAGCACUUGAACACCCUUCAUCACUACCAGAUCACAGAUGAUGAAGUGCCAGUCGAGAAGCUGGAGGAGAUCAAGAGACGGUUGGAAAAACAAAAUCUAUUCAGUGCUUCCUGCUGAAAAGACCAGCAUCUGUAGUGUUUAGAACAUCAGAUGCUGGUAUGUCCAUUAGAAAUCUGAAGUAGUAACAAGACAGACCAGUUUUCUGUUCAAAGAUGGUCUUUUCAGCAGGGCCAUCCUUCAGUUCUCUUAAUGUUGUCAUCUUCAAGAAUCCAGGCUCUUUGCUAAUGUUCCUCAUUCUCCUUGAUAGUUUCACCAAUGCCAGAGUGACAGCCAAGUACCACGGCAUCAAGCUACAAUACAGAGAGCAGAUGCACCAUGUUUAUGACCUGCUGGGACAUCUGAAGUCUAAGCUGAGCUUGUGGAGAGGGCCUUACGGCUCCCAGGAGUCUGUUCAGUCUCUGCUACAAGAUUGGCACGACACUGUUGACAAGCAAGGUCUGGUGUGGAAGUUGAAGGAAGCACUUAAUAAGCUGAAGGACACAGCAGUCAGCUAUACCAGCAAAGCAGCUCUGGGUAAACCUAUAUUGUUGGCAGUUCUGUUUCUACUUUGGUUUUUAUGAAAGUUAGUACUUUUCCUGUAACUUUUAUCUGAUUUACCCUUUCUCCUUUGUUUGUUUUCCAGCCGACGACUCACCUGUGGUUAACAGGCUGGUAAAAGAGGCCGAUAGUGAGACGGGAGUCAGUGCAGAAGCUGCAGAAGCAGUAAGAUCCACCAUGGAACGUGUUCUGGCUGCAUGGGAGUCCUACAAAGACUGCCUGUGUCUAUUACAGGUCUGGCUGGG
RNAcentral lists this long non-coding RNA (1123 nucleotides) under Carassius auratus (goldfish). RNAcentral describes it as "lncRNA (ENSCARG00000052130.1)". Lineage: Eukaryota; Metazoa; Chordata; Actinopteri; Cypriniformes; Cyprinidae. The record is from RNAcentral.